ACGCUCGACACCUACGGAGGCAGCAGUGGGGGAUAUUGCACAAUGGGGGAAACCCUGAUGCAGCAACGCCGCGUGAAGGAAGAAGGUCUUCGGAUUGUAAACUUCUGUCCUCAGGGAAGAUAAUGACGGUACCUGAGGAGGAAGCUCCGGCUAACUACGUACCAGCAGCCGCGGUAAUCUGAGCGGGCUGGCAAGGC
Molecule: ribosomal RNA, 197 nt
Filed under: uncultured bacterium
Lineage: Bacteria
Description: partial 16S ribosomal RNA
Rfam family: Bacterial small subunit ribosomal RNA
Source: RNAcentral